UACGGAGAGGGCAAGCGUUGUUCGGAUUUAUUGGGCGUAAAGCGCGCGUAGGUGGCAUGGUAAGUCGGAUGUUAAAGACCCACGGCUCACCCGGGGGAAUGCGUCCGAUACUGCCGUGCUAGAGUGCGGGAGAGGAAAGUGGAAUUCCUGGUGUAGCGGUGAAAUGCGUAGAUAUCAGGAGGAACACCGGUGGCGAAGGCGGCUUUCUGGCCCGUAACUGACACUGAGGCGCGAAAGCGUGGGGAGCGAACGGGAUUAGAUACCCCCGUAGUCC
Molecule: ribosomal RNA, 274 nt
Filed under: uncultured bacterium
Lineage: Bacteria
Description: partial 16S ribosomal RNA
Rfam family: Bacterial small subunit ribosomal RNA
Source: RNAcentral